This 669-nucleotide ribosomal RNA is filed under the name Sphaerostilbella broomeana. Its description in RNAcentral is "LSU rRNA". It matches the Rfam family "Eukaryotic large subunit ribosomal RNA", at positions 82 to 780 of the family's 3401-position model. The record is from RNAcentral. Lineage: Eukaryota; Fungi; Ascomycota; Sordariomycetes; Hypocreales; Hypocreaceae.
AGUAACGGCGAGUGAAGCGGCAACAGCUCAAAUUUGAAAUCUGGUCCUCACGGGCCCGAGUUGUAAUUUGUAGAGGAUGCUUUUGGUGCGGCGCCGCCCGAGUUCCCUGGAACGGGACGCCAUAGAGGGUGAGAGCCCCGUCUGGCUGGACGCCAAGCCUCUGUAAAGCUCCUUCGACGAGUCGAGUAGUUUGGGAAUGCUGCUCUAAAUGGGAGGUAUAUGUCUUCUAAAGCUAAAUAUUGGCCAGAGACCGAUAGCGCACAAGUAGAGUGAUCGAAAGAUGAAAAGCACUUUGAAAAGAGGGUUAAACAGUACGUGAAAUUGUUGAAAGGGAAGCGCUCGUGACCAGACUUGGGCUUGGCGAAUCAUCCAGGGUUCUCCCUGGUGCACUUUGCCUCGCCCAGGCCAGCAUCAGUUCGCCGCGGGGGACAAAGGCGUCGGGAACGUGGCUCCCUCGGGAGUGUUAUAGCCCGUCGCGCAAUACCCUGGGGCGGACUGAGGUUCGCGCAUCUGCAAGGAUGCUGGCGUAAUGGUCAUCGGCGACCCGUCUUGAAACACGGACCAAGGAGUCGUCCUCGUAUGCGAGUGUUCGGGUGUCAAACCCCUACGCGUAAUGAAAGUGAACGCAGGUGAGAGCUUCGGCGCAUCAUCGACCGAUCCUGAUGUUCU